RNAcentral lists this small nuclear RNA (199 nucleotides) under Erinaceus europaeus (western European hedgehog). RNAcentral describes it as "7SK RNA". It matches the Rfam family "7SK RNA", at positions 1 to 195 of the family's 331-position model. Rfam says of the family: 7SK was discovered as an abundant small nuclear RNA in the mid-70s but a possible function has only recently been suggested. Two independent studies have found that 7SK RNA binds the CDK9/cyclin T complex (known as elongation factor P-TEFb). Lineage: Eukaryota; Metazoa; Chordata; Mammalia; Eulipotyphla; Erinaceidae. The record is from Rfam by way of RNAcentral.
GGAUGUGAGGGUGAUCUGGCUGUGACAUCUGUCACCCCAUUGAUUGACAGGGUUCAUCAGGCUGAUCUGACUGGCUAGGCGCGUGUCCCCUUCCUCGCCCACCGAUCCAUGUGUGUCCCUCCAGAAGCUGUGAAGCUGCAUAUGCUGGGUCAAAGAGGCCCCUCUCGUGGCCUGUGAUCCUCUGCACUCUGGGCUCUGC